Molecule: ribosomal RNA, 789 nt
Filed under: uncultured archaeon
Lineage: Archaea
Description: bacterial SSU rRNA
Rfam family: Archaeal small subunit ribosomal RNA
Source: RNAcentral
ACUGCUCAGUAACACGUGGAUAACCUGCCCUGCGGUGGGAAAUAACCCCGGGAAACUGGGGAUAAUGUCCCAUAGGCUACAGAUGCUGGAAUGCUCUGUAGCUCAAAGAUUUAUCGCCACAGGAUGGGUCUGCGGCCGAUUAGGUAGUUGUUGGGGUAACGGCCCAACAAGCCUUUGAUCGGUACGGGUUGUGGGAGCAAGAGCCCGGAGAUGGAUUCUGAGACACGAAUCCAGGCCCUACGGGGCGCAGCAGGCGCGAAAACUUUACAAUGCGGGAAACCGUGAUAAGGGAACUCCGAGUGUCCGUAAAUGCGGACUGUCCGUAUGUUUAAAAAGCAUGCGAAGAAAGGGCCGGGCAAGACCGGUGCCAGCCGCCGCGGUAAUACCGGCGGCUCGAGUGGUGGCCACUAUUACUGGGCUUAAAGCGUUCGUAGCUGGGUUGUUAAGUUUCUUGGGAAAUCUACCGGCUUAACCGAUAGGCGUCCAAGGGAUACUGGCAAUCUAGGGACCGGGAGAGGUGAGGGGUACUUCAGGGGUAGGAGUGAAAUCCUGUAAUCCUUGGGGGACCACCUGUGGCGAAGGCGCCUCACCAGAACGGCUCCGACAGUGAGGGACGAAAGCUGGGGGAGCAAACCGGAUUAGAUACCCGGGUAGUCCCAGCCGUAAACGAUGCGCGUUAGGUGUAUCGAUGACCACGAGUCAUCGAGGUGCCGAAGGGAAACCGUGAAACGCGCCGCCUGGGAAGUACGGUCGCAAGGCUGAAACUUAAAGGAAUUGGCGGGGGAGCAC